GACGAACGCUGGCGGCGUGCCUAAUACAUGCAAGUAGAACGCUGAAGCUUGGUGCUUGCACCGAGCGGAUGAGUUGCGAACGGGUGAGUAACGCGUAGGUAACCUGCCUGGUAGCGGGGGAUAACUAUUGGAGACGAUAGCUAAUCCCGCAUAAGAGUAGAUGUUGCAUGACAUUUGCUUAAAAUGUGCAAUUGCAUCACUACCAGAUGGACCUGCGUGGUAUUAGCUAGUUGGUGAGGUAACGGCUCACCAAGGCAACGCUACGUAGCCGACCUGAGAGGGUGAGCGGCCGCACUGAGACGGUGACACGGCCCAGAGGCCUACGGGUGGCAGCAGUAGUGAUACGGGAGCAAUGGGCGGAAGUCUGACCGAGCAAGGCGGCGGGAGGGAGGAGGGUUGUCGGGUCGUAAAGCACGGUUGUAGGAGAAGAACGAGUGUGAGAGUGGAAAGUUCACACUGUGACGGUAUCGGACCAGAAAGAGACGGCUAACUACGUG
This 497-nucleotide ribosomal RNA is filed under the name uncultured bacterium. RNAcentral describes it as "partial 16S ribosomal RNA". It matches the Rfam family "Bacterial small subunit ribosomal RNA", at positions 28 to 507 of the family's 1533-position model. The record is from RNAcentral.